Long non-coding RNA from Lolium perenne, 364 nucleotides. RefSeq lists it as uncharacterized. The record is from RefSeq and is a predicted model, not a curated record. NCBI's taxonomy places the organism in Eukaryota, Viridiplantae, Streptophyta, Magnoliopsida, Poales, Poaceae.
GCCUUCUCCCUCAAUAAAAGAACAAGAAAAAAAACAGGCGAACUCGGCCGUUUUUGGCCGGCGUCCGGGACGGCGGCGGCGGCUUCUCUCCCCGUCGAUCACCACACAGCCGAACCACCCCUACGCGACGCAAGGCGCCAUGACACCCUACCAUUACUCUAUUGGUAGAAUGGUAUUCUUGAAUAUUUAUAUUUUUGUCGCCGUGUAUCUAUGUGGACUGGGAGAAGGUUCCGCAAGCUAACUUGCAUAGUUUUUUCGGGGCCUAUUGAGGCAGAAGUAUGUUAUUCCAAUUGUAUAUUAUAUUAAUAUAAGGAAGAAAUACCCUUAUGAGUUGGAUAGGUUGCAAAAAAACAAUCCCUUCCAG